RNAcentral lists this long non-coding RNA (30171 nucleotides) under Spirodela polyrhiza (greater duckweed). Its description in RNAcentral is "long non-coding RNA (SPOL_LNC001286)". Lineage: Eukaryota; Viridiplantae; Streptophyta; Magnoliopsida; Alismatales; Araceae. The record is from RNAcentral.
CGAAUGAAGACCUCACCUCCACUGAAAAAAUAAGACCAGCUUCUCAACUCAUCCAGAUCUUCCCUCUCCAUCGCCACCGGGCGCCAUUACACGAUCCAAGCUGAGAAACAAGAAGAUGACGCUCCAUCUUCACGGGGGCUCAGCUGUAUGUGUGAACGGGGAGCCGGGGGAGUGGAAAGGCGGGCUCUUGGAGCGCCGGCCAGCGUUGACUUCGUUAGGCGACCGCCUCCGUCCGAAACCGAGAGCAGUCGCCGCGGGCGCUGCAGUCAACGGGCUGAGAAGGGCAGCUCCGAGAAUUGGAGAGGGGAACUACUGAUGGGCGGGUUGCUUAAUUAAUGCCUCCCCGAUUAACGGUACCAAAAUUUUCUUAGUACCUCUCCUGUUCCCGUCGGAGUGGUCCUCCCGAAUCUCAACUGAUCGAAGCUGCGGCGUCAACUUAUUUAUCCCGGACAAGUCAACACCAGACUUAUCUGAUUAGUUUAAUCAAGCCUAGAAAUUGGCCUCCGAUAGGUUGCACCCGCGCCAACUUUUUUUAUCAGCUGAAUCCUACAAUGGGUUCUCGCCUAUGGUUGGCUCACAACCGGAAGAACCCAUCAACUAGAUCACAUCGAGCGGGUCAACGGCCUAGGCUACUCUGGGAUAGAACCCCCCAGGGAGAGCCCCACUCUACCCUGUUCUUGGUAGAGACAAUAAUAAUAACAACAACAACAAUAAUAAUAAUGAUAGUAAUCCAAGGAAGAACGUCAUACACAGCGAAGGAAUCAAGAACCAUGCAAGGCAGAACAUAAAACGAUCGAGAAAAGAGUCAACUGGCGCGUCAACGUCGCAUAGGGUUCAUGCUAUCAUCAUAGGGCGGCCUUGGGCUCAUUUUUUCCCAAGAUCUCAACUAAUAUACAUAUAUAAUACGUGGGGCCCACGAGGAGCAACGUCACAUAGGGUUCAUGCUAGCAUCAUAGGGUAGCCUCGGGCUCCAAUAGAAACAUUUUUCUGCAAGAUCCCAAGGGGGCCCACGGGGAGCAACGUAGAUUGUGGGAAGGUCAACGGCCAUGUGCGCCCUCGCAGGCAAGCUCCUCACUCGUUUGCUGUGAAACCAGGGCAUGCAUUCAAAGAAGAGGGGGUUCCACUUGGGCGUGGUGGGCAGGAAAGCUCGCAGCUUCCGAUGGGCGUCUUCCAAGUAGUCACGUGUUCCAGAGCGGGGGCGAGGCUGCGCGGUCUCCUGCAAGAGAACGACGAGUUAAAGCCAUUAGAACCGGGGAUCAAUCGGAUGAGGAGACUGGACAUGAAAAAACCAGGUCACCUGACCAGCAACCGAGCCAAGGUUGGCAAUCGCAUCCCAACGAUCCUCCAUUAAAAAUGGGCCCCAUAAAGAGAGAGAGAGAGAGAGAGAGAGAGAGAGAGAGNNNNNNNNNNNNNNNNNNNNNNNNNNNNNNNNNNNNNNNNNNNNNNNNNNNNNNNNNNNNNNNNNNNNNNNNNNNNNNNNNNNNNNNNNNNNNNNNNNNNNNNNNNNNNNNNNNNNNNNNNNNNNNNNNNNNNNNNNNNNNNNNNNNNNNNNNNNNNNNNNNNNNNNNNNNNNNNNNNNNNNNNNNNNNNNNNNNNNNNNNNNNNNNNNNNNNNNNNNNNNNNNNNNNNNNNNNNNNNNNNNNNNNNNNNNNNNNNNNNNNNNNNNNNNNNNNNNNNNNNNNNNNNNNNNNNNNNNNNNNNNNNNNNNNNNNNNNNNNNNNNNNNNNNNNNNNNNNNNNNNNNNNNNNNNNNNNNNNNNNNNNNNNNNNNNNNNNNNNNNNNNNNNNNNNNNNNNNNNNNNNNNNNNNNNNNNNNNNNNNNNNNNNNNNNNNNNNNNNNNNNNNNNNNNNNNNNNNNNNNNNNNNNNNNNNNNNNNNNNNNNNNNNNNNNNNNNNNNNNNNNNNNNNNNNNNNNNNNNNNNNNNNNNNNNNNNNNNNNNNNNNNNNNNNNNNNNNNNNNNNNNNNNNNNNNNNNNNNNNNNNNNNNNNNNNNNNNNNNNNNNNNNNNNNNNNNNNNNNNNNNNNNNNNNNNNNNNNNNNNNNNNNNNNNNNNNNNNNNNNNNNNNNNNNNNNNNNNNNNNNNNNNNNNNNNNNNNNNNNNNNNNNNNNNNNNNNNNNNNNNNNNNNNNNNNNNNNNNNNNNNNNNNNNNNNNNNNNNNNNNNNNNNNNNNNNNNNNNNNNNNNNNNNNNNNNNNNNNNNNNNNNNNNNNNNNNNNNNNNNNNNNNNNNNNNNNNNNNNNNNNNNNNNNNNNNNNNNNNNNNNNNNNNNNNNNNNNNNNNNNNNNNNNNNNNNNNNNNNNNNNNNNNNNNNNNNNNNNNNNNNNNNNNNNNNNNNNNNNNNNNNNNNNNNNNNNNNNNNNNNNNNNNNNNNNNNNNNNNNNNNNNNNNNNNNNNNNNNNNNNNNNNNNNNNNNNNNNNNNNNNNNNNNNNNNNNNNNNNNNNNNNNNNNNNNNNNNNNNNNNNNNNNNNNNNNNNNNNNNNNNNNNNNNNNNNNNNNNNNNNNNNNNNNNNNNNNNNNNNNNNNNNNNNNNNNNNNNNNNNNNNNGAUAAAUGAAUUGAAGAAUGAACACAUACCAUCACAAGCUUGGUCAGUUUUCUUUGAGAUGACUCAACGUAAUGGUUUAUCUUUGCUUGCGACUUGGGUAACUUAUGACUGGAUACUGACCCAGAAACCUUGUCUACAGUCUUUUUUACAAUUGUUUUGAAUGCCUCCUUGCUCAUGUUCCCCUGUCGCCAUGAUGGCUUGAGAACUUCUUUCACAAAGUUCGCCAGCGCAAUCUUUAAAAGCUUCAUUGACUUAGAAUCUUUGCUUUUCUUGCUCAUCCCAGGAGACCGGACCUGAUCGACUUCAACCUCUCCCAUCUCCUUAUCCAGUAAAUCAAUUGGGCUCCCAGGACUCUCAUUCUCCACAGCACCCACUUCUGCUUCUGGUGCUGUCUCACCAAAUUCAUCAUUAUCAAACUUAACACCGAUAGAAGCACCAACUUUACGUUUAUUGUUCUCUUCAACGUCAGCAGGCACAUGAAUGCUGCUGCCAAUAUCUGUCUCAUGAACAGCAGGGUCUUGCUCUUGGGAGCAACUAACCAUCUUUGAUACCCUAGAAGACGGCUCGAUGCUGUCGAAAAGUGGAUCAUAUUGAUCACUAACAGGUGGCUCCACCCCAAAUUGCUUCGGUGCAACCUCUUCCUCUGACUGUUGCCAUGGCUUGUUGUGUAUCAACUCUCCUGUUUGAGCAGUUGAAGAUGACCCACCAGGUCUAUCUAAGAAUGCCAUUUUUUUCCCUUCUGUACUCGGAGGUGAAGAGGCUACAUCUGAUAACCCAUGUCCAGACCUCAGAUUAUGGCCAUGAACGAAGGAAGAAUCGUACUUACUGCCAAUAUUCGAGCUGUUCUCCUGUCUAAAGCCGCUGGACACAAAUCCUGAACUUGUUGCUGUCUGUUCAAAAACAGAUGAAGAUGGGUUAUAAUGGGUUGGCCCUGAAACCUUAGGCAAGCCAACUUCAGGUACGUGAGAACGUAGUUCACUCUCUGGAAUGCUUGGUGGAUAUCUUGAGGGAUUGUUGUUGCCAGUUGCACCCUUGUUUGAAAGGAAAUUGCUGCCAGAUUGGUGCUGCAAGCUUGGUGGUGCCUGUUUAGAGUAAGGCAUUCCUCCAGCGGAUUCGUCUCUCGCAAGAGAACCAUAGCCUUGAGAAUUUAUAUUUUGCUCUGGAGGUUGAACGUAUCCCCCUUCCUGGACAGAAUGAUGGCCUUCUACCACUGAAGAGCGAAGAGACUGCUCCUUUCUGGUGAAUUCAGUUCCUCCAAGUGGUUGACCAAGUGGAGUCUCACUAUGCCGGGGCCUUUGCGUGAACUCAUUCAUGGGAUUUCGCUCCUCAGUUGGAUGGAGUACUUGCCGGUUGUCAAGAAUCAAAUUGCUUUGUGAGGGAAACUCAACUCCCAGAUAGACAGCACUUUGCUGAGUAUGCGACUGGGAACUUUUUUCCGAAAUAAGAUGUCUUGCAGUUUCAUCAGCUGUUGGCUUUGGAGGUGCAGAAGCAGAAUGAUAAUCACUAGUUGCAGAAGUUCGACCAGUAGGAAAUCCAUCGACAGGGGAAGGCUGAGGCAAAAUAUUUGUUCUGGGUGUUUGCAAGGUGUUCUCUGCCACAGGUUGCUGCCCGCGAAAUGAAAACUGAGGACGAUAACCGUCGGUUGGCGGCAGCAGCGUCUGGGAGUAGGAUGGAAAGGAGGGAGGGUUCCCCUGAAAUGAUGGUGGAUGUUUCUGAGACUGGUGAAGAUGCAAGUCUCCACUCAAAAGACUAGAUGACUGAGCAAAAUGAUGAAACCCAGGAACUUGAUUUUGAUAUGAUAGGAACACAGGACCUGGCAUUGAUUUUGAUAUGAUAGGUAUUUCAACAGCGUGCGGUUGAGCAGCAGACAUCAGGCUCUGAGAGGGCAAAAGACUCUGCGUGGGAACAGACUGAGUCACGGAAGGGCCUGAAACCAGAUGCUGAGAGGGCAAAAGUUUUGGAGGUUCCGACUCAUUAGGCAGCACAGAAACAGCCGGUUGAGGCAAAGUCGUAUGAUUUUCAGCCAAUAAGGGACGAUCGAGGUGAUCUUCACGGGGCAAUUUUUGUGUUUCAGGUGCAGAUGAACCUUGGUCGUAUGAGCUAUCAUCUGCCACAGUAUGGUUGUCACCUGAUGGCUUCAGUUCAGUAUCCUCCAUCAAGCGAGAAUCAGGUGCUUCCUGCAAUUUUUCAGUUUGAUCUGAUCCUGGCAACAGGUCAAAUUCCUCAUGAGAAGCCAGCUCAUGAUCCACUUCUCCAGUAGUCUUUGGCUGAUGUUGUUCACGUGGGAAAACAUGUUUUCCAUCCUUCUGCAUGGAAUCCAAACUGCUCUGCCCACUUGGACCUUCAUCUUUUAUACUGCUGGAAAGUAAAUCAGCUUUAUCUGAAAAAACCUGUCUCCUUCCAUCCAGUAAGAAUCUCUCAUUCUGAAUGGCAGUCUCCUUCUCUAAACCCCUAACACCAUGACUCUGUUCACGACGCACAUGCCUGUCGGAAACUUGAGAGACAUUUCGAUAAUCCUCGUGCUUAUUCUUAAAACGUCCAAUAUCAUGAUGGAGAUACCGGCAAGAUGCUCCACGAUAGCACCGGCCUCUGAGAAAGUUGAAGCACUCUGGAGGCCGGCCACGGCCUCUUCUUCGGUGAUCUCCCAUUUGCCUAGGUGGAGCUCGGGGGGAUUUGCUCCUGCUGUGUCCUCUUGGUGACCAGCUGAAAGAGAUUUACACUAAAAACUAAGAACUCGUGCAUGGGUAACUAACCAAAAAAAUUCCAACUUCAAGAUCACAUUCAGCAACAGUGAGGAACCCCAAAUAUUAACUGAAUGUACGAUAUUGUACCUUUGAGAUUGACUUCGCCUUUCUCUCCACCUCCAUGGACUCCGGCUUCUUCUCCUCUUUCUUUCUUGAGGCGACUGACUUCUGCUCCGACUUCUGCCUCUCCUAACAUACUUCCUCUCAUAAGACAUCUCCUCUGAGUCACUGCUACUUGCACCUUCUUUGGCCAUCCUUCCAAACUCGUCCACUUUUAAUAAAGAGCCUUUGGUAGCGUAUUUUUCCCUGUGAAAUUCUCUAACCCGAGCAUUAAAAGGACCAUCCUCAUCUUCAUCAAUAUCUCUAUGACGUGAGGUUUUAAAGGCUCUUUUAUCCAAUAUUCGUCCAUCUCUCUUCUCGCCUCCAAAAUAGUCGGUCCUUUCCUUGUUAGCUUGUGAGCUUCCAACAAUAUCCGCAUGAGCUGUGCCAAUGCGUGACUGACUGCUUUUUUUAGCAACAGGAGCACUUUUUGAGAGCAAAGGCGAACAUGACUCGGCAUUCUCUUUCUCGAAUGAUGUGCCAAGAUCAUUCCUGGAUGAAACAAGGUCAGAAGUACCACAUACAAUCAACUCCUUUCCAUCAUCCCCCCCACUGUCAUCAGAAGAAUAAUCUUGAAUAAGCCUGAAUGGACUUCCACCUUUAAUGCAUACGGUAGGUGCCUCCAAACUUUGCCUGUCGGAAUGAGACAAGGGAGCAGCAACCGUAGCAGCAUCUUCAAUGGUUGACCUCACGGGUUGCUGCGCACUUCGAAUUGAUACGCCUGGCACAGCCUGAUUUGAGAUUGUUGAAGUAUGAUGUGCAGAGGAUCUAUCAACAUCUGAAAAGUUAUCAUCCGUAAUGAGAAUGUAAGAUUCACAAGACCCAAAAACAUUGUUAAAAUUAUGAUUCGCGGCAAUGCAUAAGUACUACGAUACACAGAUUGAAGAAUGUUAUGGUAAAUAUCACUGAACGAUAAAAGAUGGAUUCCAGGAAAAAAAAAGAAGACCAUUGCAUCAACAAAUCUUGCUGUGAUGCAACAAAAAGGAAAAUAAGCUGUAACACCAAAUCCACAACAAACACGUAGACCAAAAUACCAAAAGACAGGUCCAAAUACAACUUUCACAAUUUGAGCUCUCCAGUCAUCCGAUCAAAAGAAAUCAAGAAUUAUACUUGUCGAUUUAUUUCAAAUCUCUUAGCAUCAUUACACCAAGAAAUAUGACGUCUCAUAAAGCCUGCACAGGUCAACAUGUAUCCACGUCUUUUUUAGAAAACUAAUAGGACAUUUAGAAAGAAAGAUUUCCAAUCUUUCUCCAACGGUCGAGAGUAUAUGGUUUUUGAGAUACUCGUCAAAAUCGGCAGUCAUUAGUCACUUUAUAAAGGACUGCAUUUGUUGGUAGCUAUCUACCGCAGCCAUAGUUGUCAUAAGCAUCAUGCGCUUUUUCUGCCUUCUCAAGAUACAGCUAGUUCCCUUGUCAACGAGCUGAUGUUUGACUUCUAAUAAUUGAUUGGUGGUCUUGAGGAAGAAAACAUGACCAGCCAAAUAUACGUUAAUCCUCAGCAUAGAAAGUACGAUGGUGGGCAAUAUGUAGCGUAAAGUGAUAAGCAUGAUUCUCAGUAAAAAUAAUAUUUUUACAGGAAUCGCAAUAUCAUAAAAAUUUGGAACUUUUUCAGAGGAAUAUUUGUCCCCGCCCAAUGAAAGCAAUGACAUAUUCUGUGUCUGCAGGUCGGAAGCAUUUGAAGAGUACACGCACAAAAGCACAUGUAAUACUGCAUCAUCUCAUCGUGUCAUACAAAAAGAAAAUCUGUGCUGAUUUAGAAAGAAAGUAAAUGUACAUGACAGAAGAAAACAAGAGGCAGAAAGUUCUUCUAAUUAUUACCAUAUCUUUCCUGAUUUAGGAAAGACGACUUUGAAGUUGGUAAAAAGUCCGGCAAAGGCAUCUCAGCCAUUCCUUCCUCAGUAAUGUUUGAACGCGCACGAAAUUGUUCUUCUGUAACAGGUUGGCUCAUGACUUCUUCAUUUGAUUCCUUGCUCAAUUCUGCAAUUCCUUGUCUUAUCUCAGGUUGGCUUGCAUCGUCUAUUGAAUACACAUGGGAAAAAUCCCAAUCAUGUUCCACAGAUAAUGAAGAAAUACAGAAAAAAAUAAAAGAUAUAUACGUGUAUACCUAUAACAAAAUCAAAUGCUAGAGUGCUAAUUUUGGAAUUAAGAACAGAAAAAAAUGCCUUUAUCCCGAGAAGCGCUUAGGUCGUCUUUGACUUCUGGAAACUUAAAAAUGAAAAUAAGAUAAAAGUUCAUGCAAGUACAUGAAAAAAAUAAGAAAUAGACAAACCAUUGACAAAAAUUAUUUUUAAAGAUACUAAAAACACUAUAUAAGAAGGGUACAAGAAAAACUCUUGAGAGUGAACUCUCUCCCAGAUACAGAUAGCUCGAAACCCUAAAUCUAUGCUCUCAGGAAUUCAAAACAAUUAGCUCACCCCCAAAAAUACAACCCAGAUGCAAAAAACAUUCCAGGUUUUUAUGUAAAGUGGCCUCAAUUUGUGUACACGAACCAGUAAGUCAAUCUUUCACAAAGGAAAGUACAAUCAAAAAGUUGAUAAAAAUAUAAUGGUCAUCCUUUCUAGAUCUACACGCGCUUCUUCCUAUUCUAGGAGGAAAAAAAAAACUCUUCUUCCAAUAGUCAUGCUUCAUACACAAGGACAGGGCGAACUCAUACCGCAAAAAAACAAAAAGAGGGAAGGCAGACUAGUUGUAGGCAAACCUUCUUUUUACCGGUAAAAAGGAUAAUGAUAAAAGAAAUGCCCCUAAAAAAUCAGAAGAUCUGAGGCCAUUUGAUUGUGUACUGCCCCCGAAUAUGGAACUGAAUGACUAGGUUACCGUUUCUUCCGAUAGGAUAUUCAAUUAUGUGCUGACCCUCGGUUCAAUUUAGAUACCCUAAAAAACCGUCAGUUUAGAUGACAUCUGUUCUACUCAUCCAAGUAACACAAAUCGACCUGCUAUGAGUCCAGUACUCACGUGUUUCAGGCCUAUGUUUAGUUUUGGACUAUCAUAAAGGUCCUUGUUCAUUUUGAGGUAUUUUAGUUUGAUACUGUAAUAUUAUACACAGCACGUAUUUGAGGUUUGGAGGCCAUGUAUCAUAACAAACCAAAAGAGAAAUUUACUGAAACUGUUUAUACUACACUGUUUCUCUCCAAACUGACAUAACUCCUCAAAAUAAUAAUGUAGAUCACUCCUAACGCCCAACGAAAUAAAUGUGUUACAGUAGCAGAAGACAACAAGAGCGCUAUUGUCCAAAGAUGUCCUCAAAUGUUAUCUCGAAUCAGUCCUCAUCCUCCAAAACUAGCAGGGUCAAAGUCAAAAUAUUCUGAGCAUAUAAAGUAUAAGAUUUGAUGUACUACUGCAGGAACUAUCUGACUAGAGCGCACUUUUCUUGACCAACUUUUACAAUCAUCGUAAAGAUUUCAUGAACCUUGAUAAGACCAGAAUGCUUGGAAUCAAUACUUAACAAUAGAUCAGCCAUUUCAUUCUUAGAAAUCAUCUUGCUCGUCUAUUUUCUAUAUUUCAUCAAAAUGUCCACUUUUGUACGUGAUAAUCCCCUGUAUACCUCAUGCAACAGCAGAGCCAAUAAGCCAUGACUACCAGUGAAAUGCCCCACACAGUGAAGCAUCAAUUAUAAUUCAAGAUCAUAAUUAUGGAAAAGAGUUAUACUACGCAACACAGUCAUGUGACAGAUGAAACUGAUGAAUUUUAACAUUUCAUGAUAAUUAUGCCAGCAAAAGAUGGGAAUCAUUACAGUAAUGAAUGGAUUUUCCCUGAAAUAAAUCUUAAAAAAACAAUAGGAUGCAGAAUUUAAAUAAUACCAUCCAUGUCCAUGUCUGAUUCAGCCGGCGACGAAGAUUUACUUUCACCACCAGAGUUCUGAAGUGCAGAUCCUUGAGUUGAAAAGCCAAGCUCGGAAUUAUCUGAUUCAAAACGAUACUUUCUCUUCAUCCACUUGAAAUAAUCAUAUCCAAUGGCAGCUGCACUCCCGGGCUCCCCACCAAAUAAAAAGGAAAAAGAUGGGUUGUUGGCUUCCUUCAUACGAGCUAAGUUCUCAAACUGAGGUCCAACAUUGACCAUGAACUUGCACAAUGUUUCGAUGUUAUGAACAACGUCUUCUGCUGGCCUAGUUGGGGGUGAGGAAUGAUGACCCGGAGUUUCUGUUUUCUUCUCGGAGCAUUCUGGCUCAACUUUGCAAACUUUAUCACUGGAAUAAACACUGGGAACUGGAACAGUACCGAUCAACUGGCCUUCAUUUCCAGGGCAAUUAGUGAUAUUACUAUCUGGCUCGUGGUCCUUCAUAACCUCUCGAUCUGGCAUUUCUUGAGGCUUUAUUACCGGUUGUUCUACAGCCUGUGCCCUUGGGGAGGGUGAAGGAGAAGGAGGGGGCGGGGGUGGAGGCGGAGGUGGAGGCAGUGAAGGUGGAGGGGCAUCAUCCAUUGAACCACGCAAAAAUGGCACGAAUGGAGGAGGACUUAUAGUGACAAAGCUGGGUGGAGGUGGAGGAUGUGGAUGGUGUGCAUGGUGUAUUCCUGGUGGGGGUGGGAGGGGAUUCCUAUACAGAAGCUGGCCUUGAGGAGAAACUCCUGGUGGGGCCAAUCCUCUAGGGGGUGGAAAAGCAGGGGGUGGUAUACGAUGAGCAUUCUGGUUCCCUGCCUGCGGCGGGUAUGGCGCCCCUGCUUGGGUUUGUGGUGCGUAAGAAUGGAGAACAGGGUUACUGCCAUAAUUUGAUGGAGGUGGUGGUUGCCUGUGCAUACGAGGUUGGCCCAUAUCCAUCAUUCCAGGGGGUGGAUGGCGGGCUGCUUGUGAAGGUGGGUGGGGCUGGGAAUACACGGUUGAUGGAAGCAGUGCAUGUGAGUGUAGGUUUGAAGGUGGAUGAGGGAGGCCUGGAUGAAGUGGAGGAGGUGGUGUCCCUGUAAGAGGCACUUGCUGGAAAGGGGGCAGUGAGGAGGACGUCGUAGGUGCUUGAAAAGAAGGGGGAGGAGCAGGAUAUCUGUGCCUGAACUGAGGUGCAUGGUUAGCCUGUCCGUACAUCUCGUUUAAAACUUGCCUCCCCUGGAUAGAGUCUCCGAAGCUCACUGAAACAUGAACCAUCACACAAUUGGUUACCUUGCCAAUGAACUUCAAACGAAAUACGAAGCGCUCAAACAGUUUCCAGUGCCAGAAGACUUAUCAUAAAUGACAGAAAGGCCUAGAUAGAGAGAAUUGAAUGGGAAUCUAAUACGAAAAAAAAUUAGGUCCAGGUAUUCAGACAAAGAACCGAAAAUUGCGAAUAGGGAAUCCAGUAAAUCGCAAAACCCGAGCACUAAGCAAUAACACCUCUAACUAUGUUUCGAAAAGACUCCGAUGAGAGAAGAAUAAGCAAUUCAAUCCACAGCGAAGAUAAAUUUCACAGAGGAGAAAACCACGUGAAAAACAGGGGCGACGAAACACAGACAAAGAGUAAAGAAACAGCAUCCCACCCCUACUCCGAGAGGAGUGAAUAGCAUGAGUGAACGCCACGCCGGCAGAGGUCAAUCGCGUACCUUUCUUUCGAGUGGGAGCAAACCGGAGGCCCAAUCCACCAGUAGGAAUGCAAUCUUCUCCUCGCCCAAUGGAAGCUUAACCACGAACAGCGAACCUAGGGCUCCGAUUUGGCCUCGACAUCUCCAUGAAGCGGGCAACCACCACAGGAGACUAAACCCUAGGACGUCCUACUGGACACUCCUCCCUCCGACAUGAAAUACCAGAUUCGAGUUGUAUAGCUUUACAGUUAAUUGCCGCGACGUGAGCGAACGAGAGAAAGAAGAGAGAGAAAGAAGAGAGAGAGAGAGUGAGGACGACGGGCGAUCCAAUUGAGAACAGGAGAGUGAGCCAUUUGAGAGGGAACCGGAAGGCACUCCGAUCGGACGGUCGAGACACGCGGAGGGGGGAACGCCAAUUGAGGACCACCGUCGAUCUGCGAAACCGAAAGGGCGUCGUCCGAUUGAGAUCUGACGAUCAUCUAUUUUUAAGUCACCGAAAAUAAUAUCCUUUUCUGCAUUUGUUAACAGUAUACUUUAACGGCUUUUUAAAUAUAUAUUGUACUUAUUAUAUUUAGCGUAUUUAUUAUUGCGUCCAGAAAACACAGGAUGUGACCCAUUUUUGGGGUCUAAUUUGCAUAAAAUUAUCACGUUUAAUUAUAAUAUUUUCCAAAAAUAUCCAACUAAAUAUCGUGAUCUGGACAGUUGACCGAAAAGUCAGAUGCUGCUUAAAUUAAUAUAAUUAAAAAUAGGGCGUGUAUAAUUUAAUUAUAGGGUAGAAGUAUAUAUAUUUUUUAAUUAGUAGGAAACAUUCGUAAAAUAAUUUCCAAUGAUUAUCAUAUUGGGACCAAACGUCAUCAAGAAUAUUAUUUAUUUAUUUAAUAUAAUCCAAUAUUCGAUAAUGUGCUCAUAAAUUACUCUUUUUUCUGCUGCUUCAGCUAGCCUGCACCUUCGUCUUCACCAUUUGGUACGACGUCUCGUCUCAUCUUCUCUCUCUCUCUCUNNNNNNNNNNNNNNNNNNNNNNNNNNNNNNNNNNNNNNNNNNNNNNNNNNNNNNNNNNNNNNNNNNNNNNNNNNNNNNNNNNNNNNNNNNNNNNNNNNNNNNNNNNNNNNNNNNNNNNNNNNNNNNNNNNNNNNNNNNNNNNNNNNNNNNNNNNNNNNNNNNNNNNNNNNNNNNNNNNNNNNNNNNNNNNNNNNNNNNNNNNNNNNNNNNNNNNNNNNNNNNNNNNNNNNNNNNNNNNNNNNNNNNNNNNNNNNNNNNNNNNNNNNNNNNNNNNNNNNNNNNNNNNNNNNNNNNNNNNNNNNNNNNNNNNNNNNNNNNNNNNNNNNNNNNNNNNNNNNNNNNNNNNNNNNNNNNNNNNNNNAUCUCUCUCUCUCUCUCUCUCUCUCUCUCUCUCUCUCUCUCUCAUCGUCUGCUGGAUUGGCGGCGGGAGAGGAGGAGGAGGAGGAGGAAGAGGAAGGGGGGGCCCACGUUGGACGAAUAAGCUCGCGCUGUCGUUCUUUGUCUUUUCCUCUCCGACCCGCCGGCAUUUCCUAUUUAUUGUCAAAUCUUUCCAGAUUCUAUAAAAGCUCUCACCCUCUUCCUGCGCAGGGCACUCCGUUCCAAGUCCCAUCUACCCGACCCAGUUCGCCGGUGUACGGUAACGUCUUGGGUGGCCAUCUCCGGCGACAGUCGUCAGAUAGAGUGGUGAGAAGCCGCAGAUCUGUCGUCUCUUUGGUUGGAUUUUUGCUGUUCGCGAUUGUUCUUGUCCUUGUUUCCCCCAGUCGGCGCCAGGGUUUUGCGAUCACGGUUUUUCAGCGGCAGAUCCGGAUUAAUGGACCCUUCUUCUCCCGGAUCUGCCGAUCCUGCGCGGCAUUCUGUAUAUAGUGGAGUUUGUACUAUUACAGUACACAUGAUUUGAGAGUGUUGAGAUGGGAGAUUGGGGGCCGGUCGCUUGUUGUCCCUUUGUCGCCUAUGCUGAAAUAUGGUGAUUUCGCUCCAUCAACACACAUUUUCGCUAAGUUGGCGCCCGAUUAACGAAAUUUAAAUAUUCAAACCAGGGCGAGUUGAACCGCUUUUGUCCUUUUUGGCUUUCGAUUCAAAGCUCUAUGUUCCGCUCCUUGGUAAAUUUUUUUCUUCCCGUUGAUAAGAAGAGGGUGGAAACGGUGGUGGCCCUCUGGAUGUUUGGGAGCCAUGAGUCGUUGAUCCUAUCAAAAUACGUCCCAUACUACGUAGAAAAUAAGUGUCGGCACUAGCGGGCGACGAGAAGAUCACCUAAGCUAGUCCAUAGAUAGCCGCCCGACGUAACCUUUGUGUGCUGUUCAUUUGUUUAUUAUUUUUCUUUUUCGUUUAUAGUUGCACCACGAUGCCAUUCAUUGAUCCCUACCAUCCUCUUUCUUUCUUUUUCUCUAAAUGUUAAAUUAAAACUAUUAUUUUGGUAAAUAAUGGGUAACAUGCGUAACGGGUGUGAUGAAAAGGAAAAAGAAUGGUCGUGGCAAUUGAGACGAAGGGAUCAUAUCGUUUUUCUUGUUUGUCACCAAAUAUCCAAUAAAGCAGAAAAUCAAUGUUUUGGAUAAAAUAAGGUACAUAAGAUUCAUCAUAUAACGCUUGAUCUCUUGUGUUGUUUUACCCUUGGGACGUUGCCUUAGCUUUUCCUCUGAUCUACCCAGAGAGAUUUCCACAUGCACAUGAUGAUGAUCGAUGGCCGGUCUUAACUAAUGUCUUGACGAUAAUCAGGUGGAUUUUGUACAUUAAUGUACAAGUUUGUGAUGACAUUCUUUCUAUUUUAUGUUGUUUAUGGUGCUACUUUUGUCUAUGUUGAGCGUAAGUUUGCCUCUACCUCUUUCACACAUCGAUUUUCUUAGUCUAUUAUUUAUCAGUAAUUUCUUCCAUGCCUCUCAGGGCUUUUUUCUCAUGUGUUCGUAUAAGUUUUGGCUGAUUGGAAUUUUUGGUUUCACUCUUGGAAGUUUAGAAGAAUGGGUCGUGGUGUCAGCAGUGGAGGUGGUCAGAGCUCGUUGGGCUACCUGUUUGGCUCCGGAGAGCCUCCUAAAUCUCCUCCUGCUACUGAUAUUGAAGCACGUGCUCAGAAGCCUGCUGCUCCUCCACCGGUGGAUAAGCAGAUUCCAGCAGGCAUCCAGGGAAACAAUGUGAACAAUUACUUCCGAGCAGAGGGCCAGAACACUGGGAACUUUAUUACGGUUUGAAAUCCUCCAGAUCGAACUUGCGCAUUCGUUUAAACAGCUUUCUGUGGCACAGUCUGAUAGGAAUGCGCUCUUGCGGUUGCAAGACUGCAUCAACUGUUAGAAGCGGAGCAUUAUUUAUAUAUUUAGUUCAAUUCAUCAGCUCAAUCAUCUGUCAGAAUGUUGAGAGAUGUGUUGGAUGUAUCACAUAGUCGGAACCAAUUUAUCCGGAAAUCAUGCGAGUGCUGAACCGAUUAUAGAAUAUUAGAUCCAACCCGUGAAAAUAGGGCUUUCUUGUUAAUUGCAGAUUAAUUGACCGAUCAAAUAAAUUGAGAUUAAAAUUCAAGAGAAUUUUUCUUUUUAGUUGACAAUAGCUAGCCUAUGUUCUUCAUUGCAUCUCCCACUUUUUUUUUAUGCAAGAUUCCUGUGCAGGAUCGGCCAUCAACCAAGGUACAUGCUGCUCCUGGCGGUGGAUCUUCCCUGGGUUACCUCUUUGGCGGUGGAGGCAAUUGAUUCUUCCUUCCGUCUGGUGAAUUUCUUGUGUAUGAAAAAUCUAAGAAUGUCCAAAAAUGCUAUCUAUGUUCUGUUUGGCCGAGGGGCUUCUGUCGCAAGCUAAUAGGUGUGUGUUACUUCUAAUUGGAACUCUCCAUGUAAUGUAGAUUGGUCUUGUUGCCCAUUUGCCUGUCUCAAGCACCUUUAUAUCGGACAAACUCUCGCUCAGCUGCCCUUUCGCUAUGAAAAGAUGUUUGCUGUUUUUAUGAUGCAAUUGCUAUUUUUGGGCCUAAUAUUUGGCUGAGGGUCUUAUAUUUCACCCGUCUUGGCUGAGGGUCUUAUAUUUCUGUGGCCUAUUUCUUCUUUAUGAUCAGAUUCUUCUUCUUGAAUUAGGCCACAAAACCUUCACCUUUAUAUAAAGUUCUCACAAGGUUGAUCAUCUACAAUGAGAGGCAGUGCAUCAUCCUGCCCCCCUUGAUUGAAGGAUCUAUAGCACUGUAGCUGAGCCACCGGUUUACGCCAGAGGUUGUGAAGGCCAGCCUGCCGUUCUCAGGCUGAUCAAGAAGACUGGAUCCUCCUUGCCACCGCCAUGCGCUACUGAACAUGCCCGUUGACCAGGUUACCAAGCCCUUCCAAAACAGGCUCUGGGUUGGAGGAGAGAGGACAGUUAGUCAAAGGUCAAUCAUCAGAGGACCUACUUGGAGAGUUGCAGGAGAUGGGUGCAAAAUCUACGACCUUGACUUGGUAACUUGUGAAGAGCUUCUUCGGGUGUGGUGAGGUUCUCGAAAGCUGCUUCCUUUAUUGGGCCAUUGCAACCGGGACUGCUAGGCGAUCGCGUCUCUACUGCCGGGCCCUGGAUAAGGAAGUGGGUAUAUCAUGUGAGACAUAAAAACCAGAUCUUUAAUCCUGCCAGGUCUCAUUUAGCCAUGAGUGGCAAGAAAUAAGUACCCCAAAUCAGAUGACAAAUGGGGAGGGGUUGACCCACGGAGCGGUGGAGGAAAGGGGCUCACCGUGCCUGGGUGAUGAGCAUCAUCAGCUGGAGUCAUGGAGGUGGAGUUUGACCCAGGAGCCUCCUGCUGUGACCCAACUGCCGUUAGGUCUAGAGCAUGAACUGGGUCAACCAAUUCGCAAUCAUGGGGAUUUUUUAUUGCCUGAUGGGUAGCUUUGACAAUCUUCAGUUUCUGCCGGUACUCAUCACCGUCCGUUCCCAUCCUCCUCCUGAUGUGAUGAAGGAAAAAAAUCCUGAUCGAGAGAGCUCCUUGUUGAAAAAAAUAAAUCACAGUCAAAAGCAAGAAAAAACCCACCUUGCCUUGUUGACGAGGGAGUAUCUGCCCGGGUCAAAGCUCGUGUUGCAGGACAGCAAGAUCCCACGGAGGGGUUGACCAUUGAUACUGGUUUCAACAGCAUACCCAUUUGGAAGUCUAUCCACAACCCUAGCAUGAAAAGUCUUCUCUUCGGCAGAACUUUGGUCAUAUGGUGGUACGCCUACACACCCAAUAUAAUUUAAAUUCAGCUCCUAAAAUCUGAUAACCGAAGACCAGGAUGACAGCUGAAAUGAUCUGCCGGAAGGACAUGAACCAUAGACUAUAUAAAAGGUCAUUUUCCUAAUGAAGUGGAUAAAUGGAUCCCGAUACACGAAGUAAAUAUUUUUUUCCCCAAGUUUUUUUGUUGAGUAAAUGAUUUUUUAACUUGUGACUAUUAAAACAAAUGGCUAGAUCAGAAAUUAUUCCUAAAAACAAGCAGAUAGGAUCACACUUCCCAGGAAAGCUGACCUGAAAAUUUUCUGAGAAAACUCAUAAUUAAGAGACUUAAACAGAAAAUACCAGGCUGGGGAGCGACGGAUAUCGACCCAAUCUUAUGCAUGUCGGUGUCAAUCUCAUAUCUGUUUUCUUGACACUUUUUCUUCAGCUCCUUUUUGAAAGAGAACUUCUCUUGCCUUCCAUCAAAGUCCCCGUUUCCAACCUGCAUAUCUACCAAAAAAAAGGAAAGGGAUUGGCGAUAUGAAUGAGAACUAACUAGAUACACAAUAAUCUAUCAUAAUUAUACAGCCCCGUGAAGAAAAAUAGUCACAGUCCCAGACUGAUUAGGAAGAUUAAACACAUGAUUAAAAUAAAUGGGCAAACUCCACUUACAUCUUUCACUUGAUAGUUGAGCCCCAGAUUGCAAACAGACUAUCAAAAUCCAAUUUCUAUAGGGAUCAUACAGUAGAGACUGAAAAUACUCUGGAACUAUGGUCUUAUAUAAAUCAGGAGAAAUUAGGCCAACGAUGAAAGCAUACAAGGCUAUUCCAAUCGGAGCAGAUUGGGUUUGAGUUGGACAGCCUGAUUCCCUCACCCAUAGGAGAUAACAAUCAAAAUGGCGAUCAGAGAGGAGAAAGAUGACGGGGUGAUCCAGCCAUACCUGUGUGUAAAUAAUACAUGUCGUCAAGGGCCUCAAGACUUCCAUUACACCCACCUAUCAACACAAGAAUGCCAUUUCGUGCAUCCACGCAGUCUCCUGCAGCAGAAAAACGGGCUGAUGGUCCCUCAUUCACAUUAGUCACUCUGUUCCAGAUGCCAUUAUCUGCAAGGACAUCAAAAAUUUAAGUCGCGCCAUUGCUGAGAAGGCACUAGAAUUGGUUAAAAAUUAUAUUUGCACACACAAGUAUGGAAAUAUUUAUUCCAUGGAGAUACCCCUUACUAUCAUAAAACAAAGAUAUUUACGUUUUCUGAGAUUUAUAAUUAAAUUGUAGGUGCAAUAAGUCUACCCAAUAGUCACCUGCCUGAGGUAGAAUGCAAAGAACUAUGAUCCCCUAAGUAAUGAUACGUGAAUCAGAGCCUUCUAAAUGAUACUCUGUAAGUAUCAUUACCACCUUAAUUGCUCCUCAAAGGGUUCUCUUAACUCGAUUUAUUUAUAGCAUUGUUUUGUGCGGAUCUUACAGAAAAUGUUGAAGCCUGCUGCGAUAGGGAAAUGAAUAAAAUCAUGGAAAAAUAGCAUUGCAAAUAGAGGAGGAUAGAUAAAAAGAAGGUAGCUCAAAUGACUACCCAAAUACCAUACAUCCAGACACUCCAGGCCUGGUAAUGCGUGUUAAUCUUAUGAAUUUAUCAAUCAGUAAUGCACCUUAUAAAUUAUAUUGCCAACUCCUAAAAUGAUAGGAAAUUGAAGUAUUGAGUGUGAGCACAGAGAAAUUAACAAAUAUUGGAUUUUACUGACCCAUAUUCAACACAUGAAGAUCAUCAUAAAGAUUUCUGUGAUCUGUGAAUCCACCAAAAACAAACAAGUUCCUCCCAAGAGCCAUAGCACAAUGGCCUGCACGGGGAGCUAGCAUCUGGCCUGAAGUGCUCAGUUCUUUCCACACCAUAAUAUCUGCCAAUAUAAGCACAAAUGUUACUAUAAACAGCAGAAUAUCCACCAAGAGAACAAACUAAGCAUGCACAUAGAUUACCAUACCGCAGAAACUAGAGAAUUUCAUUUAAGAUGUCUGUUCACGGUAACCCCAAACAAACUUUACAGACGAGAAAAAUACAAAAUGCAUUAGGAUCUUAAGUCUUUAUGAUGAUCUAAGUCACAUACCCGUGUCAAGAACAAAAACGUCAGAGAGGUAAUAAUCAGAUGCAUCUUCACCGCCGAGAACAAUAAGUUUAUUUCUCCAAGAUGCACAUGUGUGGCUAUCACGUGCAGAUGGUGGGGUACCGGAUGUAACAGCACGCUCCCAGAUGAAGUUCUCUGAUGUUUUAAGAGAAAGCAAUGAGGAAUAAAGCAAGUUAACAUGCAUGGUAAACAAAGUAAUCAAGAUCCAGUUUAUAGCUUAGCAUGGAUCACGGAAAAAAUAGAUAUCAAAAUAAGAAGUAGAAACAUCAGCAAGAUUUAAUCAAUCCAAAAGCAGUAAGUCAUCAUCCAGAACAGAAUUAGUAUUGAAAUCAUGAAUUAAUAAAGUGAGGUGAGCAUCAAUAAACGAGGAUAAAAAAGCAGUGCAUCCAAAUUUGUUAGGCAUACCAUUGCCAUUGAAGUACAUAUUUUGUUCGAUCUUAGCACACUCAGCAAAUCUUCCAAACCAAGAAAAUCUCCAGAAUAAAAUUGAUACGGGGAAUAGUAGCAUAAAUAAAACUUAGAAUUCUCCUUCAGGAAACAGGAAAACCUCGGGGGAUAAACUAUUAUUCUUGUUAAGCGGCUUUAAGAUGACUCGAUCUGAACAACUCAUGGUUCAUUCUAUUGAUCUAAUUUAUCCUAAUCAGCUUGAGACAAACUCAUGUUCUGAUUUCUCUUCACCCUUUUAAAGACAGCUUAUGGAGGCACAAACCUUUAAGAGUCUACACCAUCCUGGUCGGAGACAAAUCUGAGUCGAUAGAACUCACCGUAGUUUAUUUUAUCUGACUCUGUCCAAUAGUCGCUAGACCAACGUACCUAUAGGGAUAAGCCUUUUAGCUAAAGCUCCUACACAUGUAGCGGCUUAUUAAAGUUUGCCAUGAAUGACUAAUUGACCUGCCUUUAUCAAUCACGAUGUCAAUACAUUUGUAACAUUGUUACCUGAAAUCUCGUGACGUGAAAUAAAUAAUAUGAAAUGAUUAUCCGGGAACCAAAGAAAAUUGGAUAGCUCCAGAAAGGUCUCUGAGAAAUUAGGGUUCACAACCACAAAAUUGUGCAAAAAAGCAGACGAAAUUAUCCUUUAUGUCGAAUGGAAAAAUUUAUCACAAUGCGCUCGAUUUUAUCCAUGUUAGCCGAUUUUUUUUUUACAUGUUGCUUUGAAAUGACGUGUUAAAAGUUAUGGCUGAAAGGAGAAUAAAACUGGAAGGAAGAUAGAGAGUGACCUGGAACAGAAGAAAAAAAAGAAGAAGACUCACAUGUCCAUCAUCAUUAACUAGUUACAUGUUUUUUUAGGAGGAUAAAGCCACUAUCAUGUCAAACAAAGUGAAACAUACUGUCACAUUAAACAGAGUAGAAGACAGACCUUUAAGAGUGGGUCUCGAGAAUAUCAAAAAUUUGUGAACAAUAGAUGCUUAACGCCCUGAUGUUUGAAAUAUUAUCCCGUAUUUAAUUGAAUAAAUGAAGCAUUAGCGAUCAUCUUUAGCUUGGCAAAGGCAUGAGCGUACACACUUUCAUGCUUCCCAACGCAAGAACUUCAAAUCUUCAAAGGGAUCUCAUCCUCAACCAAGCCUAAUGGUGCAUGAAAAUUUAGUGCAAUCAAAAAAAUUUCAUCUCCAUAACUGACUUGUUCUCCACAUGGAAUUGUGUACCAUCAAUCUAACUACCAAAUAUUGAUCAAAUUCUUUACCGGGAGAUUUGAGAUAUACGUCAAUUAUUAUGUGAAAUUAUUGUUGUUACGAACAUAUAUCAGGCCAUACAACAACUACCAGUGGUGAUCCCUUACCAACUUUCACUUGGUUCAACGUACACGGAAUACCUUGCACCUUAUAUACUGCCUCAUAGUUGCAUUAUUUCUGUAAUCAGUAAAUCUUAGUUUCAUAUGCUUCAUAUGUGAAUGAUUAAAGAUACAGAGACAAGGUACAUGUUCAUUCAUGAGAAGUCUGAUGCAUAAAUCGAGGGCAGACAAAUUUCAUGUUGAGAAAUCAAAUUAAGCAGUUCUUCAGAAAAUAAAGAUAACAUCAACAACACUGGAUAAACAAUUGUCCAUAGAAUGCCAUAGUAAAUUAAGGUCGUGUUACAAAGCAGGAGAACAAUACCUGUGUCCAGUAUGUAGAGGUCAUCAUAAUACACUUCUUCGGAAUUGUUUUCAGAUUUCCCACAUCCUCCAAAUAUAAAAAGUCUCGUGCCCACCAAGGCAGCACUAUGCCCUUCUCGUGCAUCUGGUCCCUUUCCGCACACGCUAGGAAGUAUCCAAGUAUUCGAUGCUGUACAAGAGCAAGAUGGGAAUAUUAGCCUCUACUGCAAUCAUUCAGCAGAUAUUAACAAGAGAUUCAACUUUAAAAAAUUACCACGAUAAUUCAUAAUAUUGUCUAAAAUAUCACCUAUUUACUCUAUGAGAUGAGAACUGAAAGUCAAAAUUAAACACAAUAACUGACAAUAAUAGAAUGGAGAUGAAAAUGAUUAAGAAUCUUCACGUGGCUAAGAACCCUUGGUGCAAAUUUAGCUAUUUUAGUUUAAUGAACUUGGUUUCAGCCGAAAUUUUAGUCCAUGUGAUCCAUCGAUAAUGAAAGAAGGCUGUGGAUUCAAACUGAAGGCUCUAUACAUAUGAAAACAAAAGAGAGCCAACCCCAAGUUCACAGCGGCAUGAAAUGUUAGUCACGGAUCAAUCUGGUUCAAUGGAGAUACUGUGGGUUUUGGCCGCCUAAAGAGACCUGCCAACUCCUAAAUUUAGUGUUUACAGGUUCUCUCAGGAGCUCCAGUCUCUGACAAAUGUUGUAUCACUCAAUAGCCUGGAUUGAAUGUUUACUGGGGUGCGACCACGGUUUAGGCAACUUUAACACCAAACAUAUAUAUGUGGAACUGGAGAAAGCACGAGUUCAGGGAGACACUCUCAACCUAAUAUGAGAUCACCAAAUAGAUAUGAUUGCACAUAAAUUCCAACGUUUAAACGGCAUCAUUUUAUUUAUAAAUUAGUAAUUCAUUCCCGUAUGUGGGCAACCUAGAGAAACAUACCCUUUUAUUUUGAAAUCAAAGGGUACAGAAAAACGCAAAUAUUUAUAAAAGAAUAUCAUUGUUAGUCAUAAAUUAUAAAUCGCAACUUCUCUGUGAGUCCGGCCUCUACAUUAUGCAAUCAGAUGAGAGAGGAAAAUGCAGCAAAAAAGAUGAGCAAGAUACAGUUAGCUUCAAGAAACAAAUCUUCUUCCUGUUCAUCUAUUAGAUUCACACAGCAACAUUGGCACGAGAAACUUUGAUACUUGAAACAUCAUACCAAUUUUCCGUACCUACCCCAAACACCAAAUAAAUUCAUUGCUUUACGUAGAUAAUUCACAUAUGUAAAACAUGUCUCAAGCACGUUCAUUUCUCUUCAUUAGCUAUGCAAGACAUUCAAUCAUGAAUUUCAACAUAUCAGCUAAAGGCAAAGAAAAUAGUACAUCUUUACAUACAUGUGUCGAGAACAUAAAGAUCCUUUAAUGGGUUUUUCCCGUCUGUUCCACCAAAUACAAACAGUUUACUUCCAACAGUUGUGCAAGUAUGGCUGUCCCUUGGCGAAGGAGGAAGACCCUUCAUCAUCGGUUUGCUCCAUGUCUGCUUACCUGCAAAAAUAUCAAACCAUUCCCAUAUGUAAAUACAGGGAUAAAAAAAACAUUUUAAAACUUGAGGAAAAAGACUUUCCUUAAAAAGUUAGAGAGCCUUUGGCUUUUCUUGUAUGAAUCGGAAUUAUGCAUAACGUAGACAAAGGAUAAUCUGUUAAUUAGUUAUUCAGAAAAAAAAUUAUAAAGACCUAAACCAAACUUCAGCAGAGGUUAUAGUGAUUAUCGAGAGAGAGACAGAGAUCGAGAGAGAGAGAGAGAGAAGUAAAAAGCAUUAUGUGGAAGGAAAUUGUUAUAAAUUAAUGCUACAUAUGAAUACUAAAAAGGAAACAGCGAAGAGACAAUCAUUAUGGUGCAAAAAUUUGUAUAUGAAAUAUAGGUAUGGAACAGUAAGGAACCUAAAAGGAUAUUUACAGUCCCUUCAAUACAUAACAAAAAUACUGUUUUCAAAGACACUCGUGCGUAUUUGAGUCAUGAAGUUGAGGGAACCCAAACUGAGGUCCAGAGACCUGUAAAACACCUUAGCCAUUGACUAUUCCCCCACAACCACUAACAACAAGAAAAAGGAGCAAAAAAUUAGGAAGAGAUGAUGCAAUAGAAUAAACCAGUAUGAGUAAGGUAAGUGCUGCGCAUUGAAGUAAUUUGCCUGAUCCCGGAACCAAACAGAAACUCCCAGAGAUCCCAAGUCAUUCAGUCAUUGAUUGUGUCCAAGUGUUGAACAAGUUCAAACUUGAAAUUGCAUAAAGAUUGAAAACAUACGAGCAAAAGGCUAAAUUUCCCACGAAAACAUCCAGAGGAGGCCCAGAAACCUAUUUUCCAGGGAUCGGAGCGCAUAAUAACCAAGAGAAAAAGAAAAUGGAACCCAAAAGGGAAAUGCAAAAGGAUAGCGUUCAAGUACAUCUGUAACCAUUCGAGAAAGAAGGAACGACGAUGCCCAUAUUAGCCUGAUUUGAUCAGUCUGAAUUCGGUACAACUCAUGAUUCGAGAACUCAAGGAGUGGCACGUGGCCGGUCAGAGGUUGAAAUCUGUGAAAAAAGCUCAUGAUAAAUCUGUAAAUGCGGCCAAAUAUACACCCCGCAUCUCAUGAUCAAGACACGACAUCAAAGAAAGAAUUCCAAAGUUCAGAUUUUUUGACAUCUCAGACCAGAAAAUUAACAAUGCAGGAUGCCUCGUAAUCGACAAGCGAGCACCAGACCUGCUCGGAAUGCCCAAAGAUGAACGAACAAAGAGCAGACCAAAGAAGAGGGGAUGAGAAGGUUUCUCAGCUAACCAGUAUCGAAGACGUGAACAUCAUUCGUCUGGCAGUUGUCCUCGCCGUAGCCACCAAAUACAUAGAGAAAUCUGCCGCCCUUGACGGCAUUGCAUGUGUGACCCCACCGCCUCCUGGGGCCCCAUACUCCGCCUUUCCUUCCCGCCGACUUCUUCCCCUCCGGCGUCUCUCUCGCCCUGGCGUUCACAUGCACCCUUUCCCACCUCAUUGCCCUCCCAAGCCACCCCCCGCCGCCGCAAUAAUUCACCACACCGUUGUCAACACCAGGGAACGACGGCUUCGUUCCGACCCGCAAGGCACCGGGGAGACAACAGGAGAACGAGAAAUGUGAGCACGAUCAGGAAACCUCAAAAGGAAUGACGAGGAUUCUGCGCAAGGGAGCCUACUGGGAAAAUUAUCGCAGACCCGAGGCAGACUUGCCAUAGAAAUAUUCACAUCGUUCAUCUACGAGAAGCCCAGAUGCUUUCUGACGGAGACUGAGGAGGACGGGUGGCAACGGACGAUGGGAGGAAGCCUGGCUGGUUUGCUUGCUCUGUCAAGGGCAAGCCGGCGGAUUGUUAGGGUUCGGGCAGCUGGGUUUGUGAAUCCUAAUGAGUGCGCCAAUGGAUUCGUAUUUUACUUCCGAUUGCAGCCCCCUCCUUCGCUUCCUCCUUUCAUUCAAAAUUUGCAGAUGGCGUGCGGCCGGCGUGCGGAGGGGGGCGCUCGUGAGCAGACGGCAACAGGAGCAGCGGCAGCGGCAGAACCGUAAUUAUGCGCUUUUAUGACCAACGACGGCAUUUACAACCUUGGAGACGGAUUCUUCAACUGGGAUCGAGAACGAGGUAGCAGAAUUCUACUUGAAAACCCUAAAAAAUGGAGCAACUUUCUGGCCGCCUGAUUUAUCACCUCGCAUAUUCCUUGCCCAUGCUCAGUCUCCAACCGACCCAACUGCGUCGACAAUCAUUUGAGCUGAAAUUACUCACUGGGCCAUUUGCUAACGCUUCUAAAAGUCAACCCUUUUCCCCACCGGCCCGAACUAGUUUUGGGCUAAUGGUUAUCGGGCUUUGACCACCGAUGCACAAGUGCUCUCUCUCUCUCUCGGGCCUUAGAGCAUCGAGGCUCUUCUGAUGGAUCGUCUGAUAUAUAUAUAUAUAUAUAUAUAUAUAUAUCUAUAUGAAGGGGGUCACAGGAGGUGAUCCGAGCGGAUAAGCAGCGAAGCGGGGAAGAGGCGGGCCACCGAGGAAGAGGAUGGAGAAGUACUUCGGGAACCCCUACCGGGGAGACCCAGGCGUUCCUCAUACGAACCCUGAGAGCUUCGUGAACAUAUGGAUCGGGUCCUUCGCCUUCUCCGCCAUCACCUGGUCCAACCCCUACCUCUGGCAGCUCUCCAACCAGUUCAAGUGAGAUAAUCCCUCCUCCCCUUCUCCUCGCUGUUGUUCCCGUUCCUCUUCCGAGUUCCAGAUUGCUUCGAGCUAGUUGCCCUCUCGAUUAUUUCUCAACUAUACCUGUUCCUUCACAACUAUUUCUCGUCGGCUGAAGGGAUGCCGCUUCUAAGUCUAACAACAACUGAGAGGAGAUUGUUCUUUAUAGUGGGGGGACCUUGCCCUGUCUUAGAGCCGACCGAUUCUUCUGCUGCGGUUCUGAUUAUCUUAAAUGGGGACGCCGGGGGGGCGGGGGAUCUUCGUGUGGUGUUCUUGCCUUCGUGCCUUCCGAGUGGUUUCUUUCUGGUUUACAACAAUGUUAGAGCGAGAAUUAGUACUGAGAACGCCUACGAGAAGUAGAUGAAUUAGCAUGCAGUUGGAGAAUGCAUAGAAAUCGAAGGUGGGGAAUCCAGCUGACGAAGCCGGGCUUUUAUAUUUGAGAUCCUUCUCUGCAUGCGGUGACUUUGGGAUCGAUUGCUUUGAUUUGCAAAAUUCUCUUCUUUGGCCAUCCUAAUUUUGCAUGAAUCACAUCGAGUGGAGAUAGGGAAAGCAGAAAAUGUGGAAACAGUUCACCUAUAUUAGGAAACAUGGGCUUUUUCCAAUCUAAAUAUCUCAGUAAAAGGACGAUGUAUGCUGUUUAUUGGUUUCGAAUUCCAUUCGUGCUAGAACAGUGUGCUUGAUAACAAGUGCACUAAUUCAACUAAAAAAAAUUGCGCAUUAUAUGUGUAAGAAAUAUAGUUUUAUAUUCCUAUGCCUGGGGGAGUGAUGAAUGCAGUAAUGAACACAGAAGGCAUGGACGACAUAAUUUUAUCUUUCUUUUUGGACUGUGGAUGAUGGACUUCAUAUCAUUUGCUUCCUGUUGGCGUGCUUAAGAUCAAAUUGUGAUUUCUUUUAACCUCAGAGGAAUGAGGAGGUUUUUAAUGGUUGUGCUUCUGAAAUCUAUGGGUGUCGAUUUUUCAUGGUUACUGAUGUCCCUAUUGAGAUUAAAAUGGAUCAUUUUAAGUUUAGAAGAAAAAAUAAAUAAAUCUGGUUGUGGGUCUCGUCUGCCACAUCCUCACUGGUUCCAGCUCUCCUUCCCAUCCAAGUAAAGAUUAAAGGAAAACUCCUGAAGGUUCAAGUUUGUACACUUGUAUAUUGAUACCUGAGAUUCAUAUCCAAAUCGGAUAAGUUUUAUUUUUUGUUACUUUUAGUAGAUAAUUGCUCAUAUUUUGAUGCCACUAGUGAGUUUAUUGCGUGAGAAAUUAAUGAAGGUUACAAUGGGAAGUGUGUUAUGUGAUAUUUUGAUCUUUUAAGCAUGUCUGUAGCCCUCGAAGUUGAACUUAUAUUCUUUAGAUGAUGGCAUGUCUUCGUAAUCAGAGAAAAGUCAAAGGCCUGCUGAGAGUUAGAAAAUAUAAAGACAAGAGGAGCAAAGCAGAGGGAGAGCGGAUUAAUACAUUGACAAAAUACCUGCCGAGCACCUCAACGUUGACUAAAUACCAUACUUACGGAACUUUGUUGAUCAAACGGCCUAAUACAAUCUUUUAUUUUAUAACCAAAUCGUUGGGGGAAUCAGAUUCAUCCUAUGAUUUUGGUGAUCAUUUAAAGCUUUUUUUGGAAGCUUCAAGCUAAUCUCUGCAGUGAUAUUUUUUGAUUCUCAUCUUCUACAUGUAUCGUUGCAGCUGGCAUGAUAGGGCGAUGAUGUUUGAACAUCACCACUGGAAGAAAGCAAUUGAGAAGAAGCAGCCAUACGAAUUUAAGGCAAGCGUCAGAUCUUUUUCUGCGGCAGUUCCUAAUACCUUCGAUUCUUCACGGAAGGAUUCCCAAAAAUAAAUAGAAAUAACUAAUUAUUGACGUCAUAAUGCCCGUAUUUCUUGAUGUUACUGCGAAAAUCUACGGGCAUGGCGUCCAACAUUAAGCUGGAGUAAGAAUUAUGAUCUGAUAAUUUUUUUUUCUUUUCAGUGGAACAAGCACAUGGACAAGGCCACACGUGAAUCUUACUACAACAACUGGCCUGUCUACUUCGCGUAGCUGCUGCGUCUGGUUUGCGUUAUCUCUCAGGUCAAGCGUUUCAGUGCCAGCAAUCUCAUGGACGUGGCGGUCUAGCUGAUGGGUUUUCCAUACAUGGAAGAUCUGUAAAUGGAUGGGCUCUGUUUCUGUGAAUCCUAAGAUAGACUCUGUUCAGUUUAUGCGCGGUUGAAGGCGAUCGCUGGCUGCACUAAUUUGGUAUUUAUGGCCUGAUGAGAUUGAGUUAUCUGCCAGAUUAUGGGCUUGGCUUUUUUUUUCUCAUUUUCAUGGAUCUUGAUAUAAUUAUCCUUUAAGGGAAAUGACUUUGAUUAGUGAUCUCAAGAGCAGUAGGGAGAGUCAACGGGUCUGAUCGGCCUGAACCCGGCACCAGCCCGGUAUACAGUAACCCCAAUUCUCAAUGAGCAGCGCAUGAGAGAGAGAGAGAGAGAGAGAAAGAGGGUUGUGAUGUUGAUUAUUCUCAUGGGCUUUAAUUUUUAAUUCUCUAUAUUGGAAAAAAAGGACCAGAGUGGUCCAAAAGUCAACGGCCUAUUGUAUCCUAGACGUGGGCCAAGUAUGAUGCUCGCACCGUCAGAGGUGCAAACUCGCCUUAAAGUCCGGACCUUUUCGCAAACUAUAAUAAUACAGUUGUCAAUUUUAUGAUUAAAUUAAUUAUAAUAUUCGACUGUAAUAUUAUAGACAGAAGAGUAACAUAUUAAAUAAUAAUAAUCUUAUUAUAGACGGUCACCUGCCAGAAGAUAAACAAAAAAAAUUACGCCUUGCGCAGGAAGAUAAGGAAGGAUGCCAUCGCUGGACCCAUCAUACAGACGACGAGGAUUGAAAGGCUAAAAAGAAGAGUUUUUUUAAUAUAAACCGCUCCCACCCCGCCCUCUGAAACUACUAGCGGGGUUGAGGUUCAGAAAGAAUGGGCGGCGCCUGCCUUCUCAAGCUCAGAGAAGAGGCAAAAGAGUAAAAGACGGCUGCCACCGGCCCACGGCGGCGUUAGCGCCGUCAGGAGAAGCUCGAGCGAGCGGGGUUCACGAUGAUGUGCCUUAGUGGGUGGGCAACGUCGCCGCCGCCGGCGUGCUUGACGAACUCCGCCGGCGAGAGGAAGCGGCCAUGGCAGACGCAGACUAUCCUCACCUCCUCUCCUUUCCCGUACCUGUAGAGGAAGCCCUCGACCCUCCGCCCGUUGGGGCCGUCGCCCCUUGCGGAGACGCAGGGCAUGUCCUCCAUUAUCCCCCUCAUCCCGUCGCAUCCGGCGGCGCCACCCUCCUCCGAUGGCGGUGAGUCUCCCUCCACCGCCGGCCUAGCGCAGUUCGUGGGCUUCCUUACCGCCGCCGCCGCCGCCUUCUCGUCGCCAGGGUCUGCUAGUGACUGCACGACCGACGAGCCCCUCGGAUCGGUGGUGCCAUUGCCCACUUCUGAAUUGACACAGAAUAAAAGGAAAGGUUCAAGAUCGAGUGAGAACAGGCCCGGAAAAAAAUUACUGAAGCUUCGGAAAAUCUAGGCUAGUAAGAGGCCGAGUAAUCAUCGUGUGAAAAUAGUUAAUUUCAAUUCUAGGUUAGAGCCCUCGUAGGAACUCAUCAAUGAAUAUCUGAUGAACUCCAUUGAGGAAACCUCCGUUGAAGCUGGCAUGGCAAUUGAAUGAAUGGGCUGACUCAGGAUGGGGAUCAUCGACUGGUUCGAUGCAAGGGGAUGAAUAUCAGCCUGAAGAGCUGAUAUUCAUCUUUGAUAAUUUUCAUAUAGUUAAAAAAAAAAAUUUCAAAAAAUUGAAACUUACAUGGAUAAUUAAGGAAUGUGAGAGAAAAUAUGGGCAUCAUCCGUUUCUGCAUUUUCUGCUCCUAUCCGUUUCAAUGGAAAGGGGGAGAGGGAGAGGGAGAGGGAGUGUAGGUUGCAGAAAAAUUUCAGUCCUUUACAGAACGAACUGAUAAGAUUUCACAGUCCGUUCUUUAAAGGGUUCUCUUUUUCUCAAGAAUUGAGGCUCCACAUAGAGACCAAGUCAUCCAAAGUCGUCAGAUUCCGAUUCCAGUUAGUGAUGGAUCAAAAAAGAACACUGAAGAUCAGAUUUUGGCCAGAAAUCAGUCUUUUCCGAGCAAGGGUUCGGAUUCAAGAAUAAGAUAAUCUGAAGAAAUAUCAAAACCUCUCUCUCUCUCUCUCACACACACACACACACACACACAGAAAGGCUGGGUAUCCAAAAAAAAAACCCUUGUGAUUUUCUGUUGUGCUAGAGAUACGUAUAUAUAUCCACGAGGAGGGUUGAGCAGAACCCUAACGACAAGCCCUCACAAAAAAAAUGGCUGAUACAACAAUUAAUGUGAAAGAAAUAUCUGUGUUUUUUAAUCCUCCCCAUAUCAGAUCAGAUUUUCUCUCUCAGGGGAUGUUCUUCCUGGCACGUUAGAACUGGGGACAGAGAAAGAAAAGAACCCCAUCUCUCUUAGGGAACUCAUUUUAAGCAAUUUAAUUGAGACCCAGAUCCCAUCACAAGGCAAGAACACUCGAAAGCACCACCUCAAGCGAAGAAAAAAAUCAGCAGUAGAAUUUCGACGACUGAGACCGAAUGGAACAGAGACCCCAAGAACUCGCUCAUAGAGAGGAGCAUCGGGAAAGUACCUGUUCGUGUGAUGGCGAAAAGGAUGAUACCAGGAAAUGGCUAGAAAGAUUGGACGAGAAAAAGAGGUAUUUUUGAAUGAAACUGUGGUGAGAGCGAGCAAUGGCGAUACCUUCUUGCUUGGGCCGUCGGCUGUCAAAAUCGGACGACCCAGAAGAGCUGCUCCCCUGAGAUCCCACCGAGCCCUGAGACGCAGGGGCGAAGCGCGUCCCCGCGGCCACCCGUCGCUCGCCGUCUCCGGCUACCCAAAAGGGGAACGCCUCCGCCGCCGCUCCGUUGGGCGGCGCCGCCCCCGCCCCCGCCCCGAAGUGGGUUAGCCUGGGGCAACCACGAAGCCUCUCAAAUUCGGAACUUCGGAAAUUCCUGACCCACCCGCUGUCCGCCUGAUCGCCACCACACAGCGGGGUCCCGUCCAGGUUCUCGGCUCUCCUCCUCUUCGCUUCCAUCCGCCUCAGGCAUUGCAACUCCUUCCUCUUUCUCUCUCCCUCCUUGGGCUCCACAGGAAGGGAGCAAGUCCUCGUGAGCAGCGUCGCAGCACCAGGCUCGUGUCCCCCCUGUUGAAGGAAAGGCACGAAGGCGAUGGAGGAAGAUCUCCGCAGACCAUUCCGGCGACACGGGUCCGCCCCGAAGCUGCCGCCCAGAGACAGGCCGAGGCUGACCUCGAUCUCGCCCGAGUCCUCAACACCGCCCGACGCCGCCUCCCGCGGCUCUUCGGGGCGGAUAUCCCCCGAGAGUUGUCGCAAUAGGUCCCUCGGGCAGCCACGGAUGCCCUUCGAAGGCUGAGUCUCACCAUCGUCUUCUGCAGUCUCCCUCAUCUUCCCCCCAAUAGAGCACCCUGCGAAGACCGGGCAGCCCCCAGAUGCACUGGUCCGCAAGCUAAAGUUCCUCGCGGAGCUCUUCGGACGGCUCUCAUGGAGAAAACGAGGGACCCAUGAAAGGGAGUAUGGCAGAAGACGGCAACAACCCGGAGUUAAACAAGGGCAAGAGAGAUUCCUCCUCUUCCUGUCCCCAAUCCGGUCUCCCACAGAAACACCAUGGAAUAAAGCCCCGAUCUUCGAUAAAGGCCUCUGGAAGAUAUCCACACACGGAAACGGAAGAACAGGGGACUCAGUGGAGCCGCGGAAGGAGCACUACAGCGGAGACGGGUUGGGGGGGAGAAUGGGGGAGGAGGAGACGGGGGAGAUGCUCGCUGCUUUAUUUUUGCAUCCACCCCCCGCCUCUGUGCCUGUAAACCUGGUG